GACGAACGCUGGCGGCGUGCUUAACACAUGCAAGUCGAACGGAAAGGCCCUGCUUUUGUGGGGUGCUCGAGUGGCGAACGGGUGAGUAACACGUGAGUAACCUGCCCUUGACUUUGGGAUAACUUCAGGUAACUGGGGCUAAUACCGGAUAGGAGCUCCUGCUGCAUGGUGGGGGUUGGAAAGUUUCGGCGGUUGGGGAUGGACUCGCGGCUUAUCAGCUUGUUGGUGGGGUAGUGGCUUACCAAGGCUUUGACGGGUGGCCGGCCAGAGAGGGUGACCGGCCAUAUUGGGACUGAGAUACGGCCCAGACCCCUACGGGAGGCAGCAGUGGGGAAGAGUGCACAAUGGGCGGACGCCUGAUGCAGCAACGCCGCGUGCGGGAUGACGGCCUUCGGGUUGUAAACCGCUUUCGCCUGUUACGAAGCGUGAGUGACGGUAAUGGGUAAAGAAGCACCGGCUAACUACGUG
This 468-nucleotide ribosomal RNA is filed under the name uncultured bacterium. RNAcentral's name for it is "partial 16S ribosomal RNA". It matches the Rfam family "Bacterial small subunit ribosomal RNA", at positions 28 to 507 of the family's 1533-position model. The record is from RNAcentral.